UAACGAAUAUUCCACAAUGCGCGAAAGCGUGAUGGAGCGAUGCCGCGUGCAGGGUGAAGCCCUUCGGGGUGUAAACUGCUGUCAGGGAUUACCAACAUAAUGAGGAGUCCCAGAGGAAGAGGCGGCUAACUCUGUGCCAGCAGCCGCGGUAAUACAGAGGCCUCGAGCGUUAAUCGGAAUUACUGGGCUUAAAGGGUGCGUAGGCGGAGCGAUAAGUGCCUUGUGAAAUCCCAUGGCUCAACCAUGGAAUUGCUCGGUAGACUAUCGUUCUUGAGGUAGGUAGGGGUCACUGGGACUCUAGGUGGAGCGGUGAAAUGCGUAGAUAUCUAGAGGAACGCCGAUGGUGAAGACAGGUGACUGGGCCUAUUCUGACGCUGAUGCACGAAAGCGUGGGGAGCAAACGGG
This 405-nucleotide ribosomal RNA is filed under the name uncultured bacterium. RNAcentral describes it as "bacterial SSU rRNA". It matches the Rfam family "Bacterial small subunit ribosomal RNA", at positions 355 to 776 of the family's 1533-position model. The record is from RNAcentral.